AUAUAUAUAUAGUUCGACUAUAAUACUAUCAACAGCACAAAGCAUUUUGUGCUAUUAAGUUUUUCAUCGUUAAGUCUACCCCUUUAACCAUUUUCACCUCUUAAAUCAUACUAUUCAACUAACCAUCUACUAAAUCUUAGAGGUUCACUAUCAUCCUAACCGCACAUCCCUUCAUUCAAAUACCAAAAAACUAAUAGCAUUAAGAUUUGGUGCUAUUAAUAGUAUUUUAGCCUAAUUCUACAACAUAUAUAU
This 252-nucleotide long non-coding RNA is filed under the name Ananas comosus (pineapple). RNAcentral describes it as "long non-coding RNA (ACOM_LNC041347)". The record is from RNAcentral. Lineage: Eukaryota; Viridiplantae; Streptophyta; Magnoliopsida; Poales; Bromeliaceae.